GCUCUUGUAGCUCAGUUGGUUAGAGCACCCGUUUAGUAAGCGGGAGAUCUUGAGUUCAUCUCUCAACAAGAGCA
Transfer RNA from Ipomoea nil (Japanese morning glory), 74 nucleotides. It matches the Rfam family "tRNA". From Rfam's summary of the family: Transfer RNA (tRNA) molecules are approximately 80 nucleotides in length. Their secondary structure includes four short double-helical elements and three loops (D, anti-codon, and T loops). The record is from Rfam. Lineage: Eukaryota; Viridiplantae; Streptophyta; Magnoliopsida; Solanales; Convolvulaceae.